Sardina pilchardus (European sardine) is the source of this 109-nucleotide small nucleolar RNA. Lineage: Eukaryota; Metazoa; Chordata; Actinopteri; Clupeiformes; Clupeidae. The record is from RefSeq and is a predicted model, not a curated record.
GUCCAGUGAUGAGCCUGCCAUGCUAAUACCGAUGCACCAGGCAGACAGUGUGUCUCUCUGGGUGUACAUGAGUGCAACUCGACUUCUCACACUGAGAGCUCUGAGGACA